AUUGAUGCCAAGUCCUUGCCAUUCCAGA
RNAcentral lists this small RNA (28 nucleotides) under Bombyx mori (domestic silkworm). Its description in RNAcentral is "ovarian small RNA-12704". Lineage: Eukaryota; Metazoa; Arthropoda; Insecta; Lepidoptera; Bombycidae. The record is from RNAcentral.